RNAcentral lists this transfer RNA (69 nucleotides) under Capitonius sp. QL-2013. Its description in RNAcentral is "tRNA-Asp". Lineage: Eukaryota; Metazoa; Arthropoda; Insecta; Hymenoptera; Braconidae. The record is from RNAcentral.
AAAAAAUUAGUUAAAUUAUAUAAUAUUAAAAUGUCAUUUUAAAGUUAUUGAAUUGAUUAGUAUUUUUUU